GGGGGAGGCGUGGCGGGCACCAUGGCAACCCGUGGCUGAAGGGUGGGAGGUGGCUGUGAGGGGCGAGUCCUGCCUUAGGGCUUGGUGUGGAGUGCUGCUUGCUACAGGGACUCAGCCAUGGCAGGUAAAAGCAGCAAACCCAAGCGUGGCAAAGGAAAAAGCUCCAAAAAGAAAACGAAGAAGGUGGUGAAGGAUGUGGAUAUCCUCAGCCCAGCUGCCAUGCUCAACGCCCAUUACAUCUGCCAUAAUGUCCCCGCCUGCCUGGAGUUGCGGGGCUUUCCUUGGCCUGGCUCCCCCAAAAAGAAGGGGAAGAGACGAAAGUAGCUGGCUGGAAAGCAAAGGAUGCGAUGAAAGCCGAGCUCCCCCUGAUAAGAAGAGGCUUUUUUGAACUUGAGACUCAUACAAUAUCUCCAGUGGUUAGCUCAAAUAUUUUGCCGUAAUCACUGUUGUGUCCACACAAAGACACUCUUCUUAUAGCUCAAGCUUACAGUGACAAAUGGCAAGUUGCACUAGUGCUGUCGUAAUUUCAGCUGUGGCACUUAGACCUUAGUUCUGUGCGGAAUAAAACAUUAAGUCUCAGCA
Gallus gallus (chicken) is the source of this 582-nucleotide long non-coding RNA. RefSeq annotates it as small lysine-rich protein 1. The transcript has 3 exons. The record is from RefSeq and is a predicted model, not a curated record. NCBI's taxonomy places the organism in Eukaryota, Metazoa, Chordata, Aves, Galliformes, Phasianidae.